CUGACCAGAGGACAAGGAUCAAGCGGCUCCCAGCAUUGCUGGGCUGCCGAGAGUUUGGAUGAUGAUGCCCUCCUGUUGAUUUCCCUCCCUGGCAGUCUCUGAACCUUGCACCUCUGAGGAAGAAUCAGAAAAGCAACAUUCUGAGCUGCAUUGAGCCUAAGGGUCAGAGAUCUGGAUCUGGAUGGCCUUGAUGGGGUUAAAGUGAAAAUGAAGAGCAGAGGGAAAGCUGCCCCUAAUCCCUCUCUUCCUGAUGUUGAAAGAGAUCUCUAUUCCUUACUUCCUGAAGGAAAGAAAAUGAUCUGCUGCAGGAAAAUCAAGUUAGCAAGGUUGAGGAUCCAACCCAAAUACACUGGUUACGACCACAAAGAUUGUUGUGAGUACUGAGAAGUCUGCAACCACCACUGCUGACUCAUUCACUGCCACACUCAUCUGACAUGGGAGCCCAUCCCUCCCCUCCCACCCCCAUUCACAAGUUAUCUGCUCAUGGACUGGGUUCCCUCAAAAGCUAUCUGGCUUCAUCCCUUCUCAGUGGUACCCUUCUGAUAGCUUGAUUUUGACUCUGAGCUAAACCCAUUGCCUAGGUAGGCUAAGUGUGAGUUCAGCCAGAUGAAUUAUGAGCAACAUUGUCUUUUCAAUUUUCUUGUCUCCAAUCCACAGAAGAUUGUUUUAGUCCAACAGAGUAAGAUCCUGUCCUUCAGGUAGAUGAGCCAGUCAUUAUACAUCAGCAUGCAGUGUAAUUAUCCUGUAUGUUCCCUGUAACAGGUAUUCUACUCAGAGUUUUUUCCCACCUGAAAUCUGGAUGUGUUGCUGACUUCAGGAUCCCAUAGUGUGAACUUUCUACAAAAGUAGGUGAAGGCAUUAAGAGUCUGGACCUCUGUAUAAUGUCGUAAACAUAAUUAAACAGUCUCUCAUUUCUAACAUUUCACCCUGACAAGAAAAAAUAAUGUGUUUGCUCCAUUGAGCUCUAUGCUGGUGAGGAGAACUCCCUGUGAAGUUUAUAAACACAUUCAAUCCAAGUAGAUAACACGACUAUUUUUUUCCAACUUGAUUCAGAUAAUUAGUCCCCAAGUCCUCACUGAGUAAAACUGCAGUCACAUAUUUAUGCUGAAUAAGACUUUUCAGUGGGAUUAUUUGCAAAAUAAGACUUUGUCAGCCAUUAGAAAUGGGAUCAUUGCAGAGUUACUAACAUUUUGCUGCUACUUACCACAGGCAGCACAAAUUGGCCUGGCAUCUCUGCUAAUUAUUUAGAUUGUAGCAGACAGAAAGUUAAUAGAAUUCUUCCAAUUACUAUUGGAAGAAUUUGUCAUCUAUUAUGUAGGGAAAGUGAUUUUGAUAUAUGAGCAGUGUUGGAAAGAAUCAUCAAUGCGAAAACUCAAACCGGAUCUGUGUGCACAGUAUCUUGUCUUGCAGGAAGUAGUGGGAGUUCACAUGUGAAAAAGAGCUGUUCACAAAUCAGUAUCCCUGGGAGCUCUCUGGAUGACUUUCCUGCACUUUGUGGUAUUCUGCAAAGAGAAAAAUCCUCUUUCUUCUUCAUGUGCCUUUUUAUGGCACAAACCAUUCACACAAAGCCACAUGUGUAGCAGUUCACACUGGUUCAUCUGCAGCGGGUGCAGAUUAGGAUCAGGUACGAAACAAAGGUUCUAGUCCAUAGCGGCGACUACAACUACUACACUUAAAGCAAAGGUAUUCUCGAAACAGUCUUAAUUAUUAAGUGAUAGGACAUGAGGAAAUGGUCUCAAAUUGUGCCAGGGGAGUUUUAGAUCAGGAAGAAUUCUUCACAGAGAGGUGGAUGAAGCAUUGGAACAGUCUGCCUAGGAAAGUGGUGAACUCCUCAUCCUGGGAGAUGUUUAAGAGGUGUGUGGACAUGGCACUAAGUGACAUGGUUUAGCACUGAGACUUAGCAGGUCAGGUUAAUGAUUGGACUUAAAGAUCUUGAAGGUCUUUUCCAACCUAAAUGGUUCUAUGAUUCUACGAUUAAAAUCUUUCCAAAUUAUAGUGUGAUGAAUGCUUGGGAAGCUUUUGCCUUGCCUUUAAUCACAGUUUAACUGGAAUCAUGAACAGUUUUCAUAAUGAAGUCCACAGCUUGCAAAAGAUUUGUAUACCAAGUGUAUGUGUAGACCUCGUUGUUCCAGAUAGCACUUCUUCCCUGAAGCAUGCAGUGACAAGCUCUUCAGUAUGUUUAUUACUGUACAACACUGUGAGCCAACUAAUGAUUAUUACUGGCUGUGCAUUGGGUCACUGCAGAGUUUCAACACAAGAAGGUACAUUCUAGAUGGAUUGUGCCUGAAGGGCACUAUCCCUUAUGGAUCAACCUAGUGGGGCAAAGAACCUCUAUCUUAAUAACGAUGCACCGAGCUCCCACCUCUGCCUCAGGGGAGAGUAGGUAGAGUGACAAGUCCUGUCUGUGUACUUCCCAAGCACAACCAGUCUUGAUUUGUACUUGGUCUUUUUCCAGAGCUCUGGGAUGGAGAAAAUCCUACUCAUGUCCUGUCUUACUCCAUACGGCUGCACAAAAGCCAACUUCAAUUACUGCUGUUGUGAUAAUGCCCACUGCACAAUACUUCCUCUGUUCUGAUGCUGCAAGAACCAGGAAAGUUUGGCAAACUCCUGGCCAAGCAGGCUAUCCUUCAAAUUAAAAUAGCCCCCUUUUCACUGCGAGGUUUGAACACAGCCCAGUUUUUCCUGUCAGUUGGUGUGACAUGAGUUUGAAGAUUUUCUAGGUAAAUUAGAUUUUUAAAAAUAAUUGAAAACAUAAAAGCUAAAAUACACAUAAAAAUUGGUUAGGCGUACUAUUAGUGCACUCUCAUUUUACUAAUGCUACACAUGAAUAGAGGUAAGAAAACAAUCAGAACUGGGGGGAGAUGUCUUGGCAUAGCUCAGGAGACCUCCAUCUUUAGGGAAGAAGAGUUGCAAAGAAGACAACAAAAUGGGGUUCAGUUGAGCCAGUCUUCAAAGCUUUUAGAAAGUGCCUUUUUUUUUGCAAGGUUUUAAAGUCAGUUAUCCUCACAGAAUUUGUUUUAUGCUUGUCUUGAGGAUGAAGAUAGCAAUAUUUCAUUAUUUAUCUGCCUCUUACCCUCAGUGCAGUCUCUGAAUGUGCAGGCCUCUCCUUGGCCCUGUGUUGGACACAAGAUGGCAGAUGUCUCUCUAUUGACAGGAAACAGGGAAGAGCACACACCCCUCGGUACUGGCUGCUCAGAAAAGGCAGCAAGACGUUACUCCUUGAAGGCAUGAGGCAGUAUAUUCCCCAACUGGCAGAGACAACAACAAGGAAGAAAAAAAAUAAAAAUAGUUAAAAAAUAGGUUAGGCAGUAUUUAGGAAUAACUUUCCUUUGCAGA
Oxyura jamaicensis (ruddy duck) is the source of this 3336-nucleotide long non-coding RNA. RefSeq lists it as uncharacterized. Lineage: Eukaryota; Metazoa; Chordata; Aves; Anseriformes; Anatidae. The transcript is spliced from 5 exons. The record is from RefSeq and is a predicted model, not a curated record.